RNAcentral lists this long non-coding RNA (1762 nucleotides) under Marmota monax (woodchuck). The record is from RNAcentral. Lineage: Eukaryota; Metazoa; Chordata; Mammalia; Rodentia; Sciuridae.
UGAAGAUAGGGUUUUUGAACUCAAAUUAUAAUAUCCCAAACUGUAUUUUGCAAAGCAUAAACUCAAGAAAUAGAUGCCACUGCUUUCCUUGGAAGGAAGGUGGAAAAGAAUUUCCUUAAAUUUUUGAAAGGUCUCUUCAUGACAGCCAAGUGUUUCUCUUUCUUUUCAAUCAUUGAAGGCUUUUAUUUUUAUUAUGCAUUGUAAUUAAUCAUAAGUGGGAUUAAUUAUGUCAUCUUCAUGCAUGCACAUAACAUUAUCUGAUCUGUGUUAUUCCCUAGUACCUUCCCUUUCCCUACCUCCUCCCUCCCACUGUUCCACUUGCUCUUCUCUACUGAUCCUCCUUCUAUUAUCACUUUUAAUAAUAAUUAUAACACCUUUAAUAACUUUAAGGUCAUUAUAAUUACAUGUAUUCUAUAAUACACACACAAGAUUCAUUUUAUAAUACACACACAUUGAUUCUUAUAACUCAACCACUGAAUAAUAAAUACCAAUAAUGAAUCAUGAUAGCUUUGCUUGGAGAACAUCCUCAGCCUAGAACCCCCACUGCAGUAUGAUAGCUUUAGACAUUGAGGAUCAAUCCUGGGGAUGACACACACAUCCAGCAUCCCUGGUCCCACCCCGCCCUUAGGUACAUCCUCUCAUGGCCACCUUUCCUGAUCCUGACACAGAGACCGCAUCAAAAUUUUACCACCCAUAAACUUUUAUCUAUGGACAGAUUUUUUUCCCCAUGCAAAUGUCUCCAGAAAGUUCUUUGAGUAGUUUUUCUCUGUCCUGGGUCCCUGCCUCGACUCUGAAGCUGAUCCUGGUGAGUAAGAUCUCCUCUUAAGCUACCUCUUGGCUUCUCUGCUCCAGCUGAUCCCCAGGGAGUGGUUCCAGGAUGUGCAGACAGGGUUUAAUGCCAUCCUUUUAUUACCACCAUUACUCACCUGCAGGGGGCAGAGGUCAGGAAGAUACUCAGGACCUCCUCCAGGAGCUAGUGCUAUGUAAGUAAUGUCUUCAUUUUAACUUUCAAAAAGCUGAAGAUACAAAUAUGCUUCCUGUCUAGUGACAAGGGCCACCAGAGUGGUAGCAGUUGUAUUAGCAAUAAAGAAAAGUAGGGCACAAAUGUCUGUCAUGCUGGAGAAGAUGUGUGCAGAGGGACAGGUUAAGUUGGAUUAAAAAAAAAUCCUACUGACUAGAAGUCCACAUAAAGCAAUUUUUCUUCAUGGGGAGAUUUCCCUAAGGAGUACUGCCAAGGAAGGAAAGACAAUGAUAACAGAUGGAUACACAAAGGACCUAAAAUAAUUACUAAAAUGCUGGACUCGUGAUAGUGAAGAAAGAACACAGACACUAUUUUCUGACCUUGGUCCAAAAAGCCCUAUGAUUGACCAACUGUGUCUGCUUUGGGAAACAGAGAGAGUAAAGACACAAUAGAUUAUCAUGUGACGUUGCCCACUUUUUCUUUCACAAAAUAGGUUGGAACAGGGCAUCUGUGUUUGAUUUUGACCACAUUCUUCUCUGUUUAGGUGACCAAUGGUCAUUAACCUUGAAUAUCUUUCCAGGGGAGAAACAUGGAUAGGGAGCAGAUGGAAGCCUCUUCAGAGGCACAUGGAGAGCAUUCACCCAUCUCUUCUCACUCCCCACUAAGAAAGGAGCUUUUAGGAUUAAACACAUCAAAGGCAUUGAAAAGAGCCACAAGGAUAUAGUACCUGGGACAUAGGACGGAGACUUCUAAGCAGGGAUGAGAUUGUUCUUAGUCUCAUCUUCUUUGCUUUCUCAUUUC